Non-coding RNA from Caenorhabditis elegans, 21 nucleotides. The record is from Ensembl. Lineage: Eukaryota; Metazoa; Nematoda; Chromadorea; Rhabditida; Rhabditidae.
UGGUUCUUCCAAAUGAAAAAA